RNAcentral lists this ribosomal RNA (118 nucleotides) under Pteropus alecto (black flying fox). The record is from RNAcentral. Lineage: Eukaryota; Metazoa; Chordata; Mammalia; Chiroptera; Pteropodidae.
GCCUAUGGCCAUGCCACCCUGAAUGUGCCCGAUCUCGUCUGAUCUCGGAAGCUGAGCAGGGUCAGUCCUGGUUAGUAUUCGGAUGGAAGACCACCAAGAAGACCAGGUGCUGUAGGCA